CGCUAUCACUCCUACGGGAGGCAGCAGUGGGGAAUAUUGCACAAUGGGGGAAACCCUGAUGCAGCCAUGCCGCGUGUGUGAAGAAGGCCUUCGGGUUGUAAAGCACUUUCAGUAGGGAGGAAGGUAGUGUAGUUAACACCUUCACUAUUUGACGUUACCUACAGAAGAAGCACCGGCUAACUCCGUGCCAGCAGCCGCGGUAAUACGGAGGGUGCGAGCGUUAAUCGGAAUUACUGGGCGUAAAGCGCAUGCAGGCGGCCUGUUAAGUCAGAUGUGAAAGCCCGGGGCUUAACCUCGGAAUUGCAUUUGAAACUGGCAGGCUAGAGUCUUGUAGAGGGGGUAGAAUUUCAGGUGUAGCGGUGAAAAUGCGUAGAGAUCUGAAGGAAUACCAGUGGCGAAGGCGGCCCCCUGGACAAAGACUGACGCUCAGAUGCGAAAGCGUGGGGAGCAAACAGGAUUAGAUACCCUGGUAG
RNAcentral lists this ribosomal RNA (473 nucleotides) under uncultured bacterium. RNAcentral's name for it is "bacterial SSU rRNA". It matches the Rfam family "Bacterial small subunit ribosomal RNA", at positions 328 to 793 of the family's 1533-position model. The record is from RNAcentral.